CAGCGAUCACUUGGACUAUUCCGCAGCACCCCUCUCACAUUGGUACACCCCCCCCCCUCCCCCGGUAUUCAUUGUCUUCUACAGUAGAGCGGGACAUUUAAUUUACUCUCAGCGGAAUUGACCGGAGAAGGCAUCAGUUCAUGCACUGCACUGGCCUGCACCACGAUUAGUAUAAGGCACAUUUCACGAAGCAGAACGCAGUCUUCAGAGAUAUCCACGUGAACGCUGUGAUACGUCUGACCUUCAGUCCGAAGAAGAAACCCAGACCAGUCUUAAAAGAAAGCACAAACCAAAUCCCCUGUACACAUAUACGGACUCAGAGGAUGAGCAGCCUACAAAGAAACGGUUUCCCCAGGCCCCUCGAGUGAAAAUACCAGCCGUCAUCACUCCGCAGUCUGCCCCCCAGCCCACUGAUAGCAACCAUCAUAAUGCCCCACCCAGCUUCCGGCACCUUUCGCCACUCCGGCACAAACCGACACAGCUUUGCGAUCUCCCCAGCAUGCAGAGUCUGAUGUCUUCCCUAUAGAUGAUUCCAGAGACUCUGUGAGGCCACUAUUACAAGGC
Molecule: long non-coding RNA, 564 nt
Organism: Pelmatolapia mariae (spotted tilapia)
Lineage: Eukaryota; Metazoa; Chordata; Actinopteri; Cichliformes; Cichlidae
Exons: 5
Source: RefSeq, a predicted model, not a curated record